UGUAUGCUCAGCACACGUUUCCUCUUCUCUCCCUCCCUUUUGCUUCCUAUGCUCCUGGAUAGGUAAUGUCUUCCAUAAGACCCUAGGAGAUGUACUGUACUGUGAGCAUCUGGAUGGGACUUCAUCUGGGGGCCAGUCCCUAGGGUUCCUUGCUGAACAAGCAUCUCCUGUUUAGAAGAGUACACAUCUGAA
This is a long non-coding RNA of Lepidothrix coronata (blue-crowned manakin), 192 nucleotides long. RefSeq lists it as uncharacterized. NCBI's taxonomy places the organism in Eukaryota, Metazoa, Chordata, Aves, Passeriformes, Pipridae. The transcript has 3 exons. The record is from RefSeq and is a predicted model, not a curated record.